AACGAACGCUGGCGGCAGGCCUAACACAUGCCAGUCGAGCGAGGACUUCGGUUCUAGCGGCGGACGGGUGAGUAACGCGUGGGAAUGUGCCCUUCUCUACGGAAUAGCCCUGGGAAACUGGGAGUAAUACCGUAUACGCCCUAUUGGGGAAAGAUUUAUCGGAGAAGGAUCAGCCCGCGUUGGAUUAGGUAGUUGGUGGGGUAAUGGCCUACCAAGCCGACGAUCCAUAGCUGGUUUGAGAGGAUGAUCAGCCACACUGGGACUGAGACACGGCCCAGACUCCUACGGGAGGCAGCAGUGGGGAAUCUUAGACAAUGGGGGCAACCCUGAUCGAGCCAUGCCGCGUGAGUGAUGAAGGCCUUAGGGUUGUAAAGCUCUUUCAGCUGGGAAGAUAAUGACGGUACCAGCAGAAGAAGCCCCGGCUAACUCCGUG
Molecule: ribosomal RNA, 433 nt
Filed under: uncultured bacterium
Lineage: Bacteria
Description: partial 16S ribosomal RNA
Rfam family: Bacterial small subunit ribosomal RNA
Source: RNAcentral